RNAcentral lists this ribosomal RNA (278 nucleotides) under uncultured bacterium. RNAcentral's name for it is "partial 16S ribosomal RNA". It matches the Rfam family "Bacterial small subunit ribosomal RNA", at positions 240 to 507 of the family's 1533-position model. The record is from RNAcentral.
AUUAGCUUGUUGGUGAGGUAACGGCUCACCAAGGUCUGUGAUGGCUAGCUGGUCUGAGAGGAUUGACCAGCCACACUGGGACUGAGACACGGCCCAGACUCCUACGGGAGGCAGCAGUGGGGAAUAUUGCGCAAUGGGCGAAAGCCUGACGCAGCGACGCCGCGUGGGUGAUGAAGGCCUUCGGGUCGUAAAGCCCUGUCGCAGGGGAAGAAUAAGCAUCGGUAUAAUACGCCGAUGCCCUGACGGUACCCUGCAAGAAAGCACCGGCUAACUCCGUG